RNAcentral lists this ribosomal RNA (482 nucleotides) under uncultured bacterium. RNAcentral describes it as "partial 16S ribosomal RNA". It matches the Rfam family "Bacterial small subunit ribosomal RNA", at positions 30 to 507 of the family's 1533-position model. The record is from RNAcentral.
AUUGAACGCUGGCGGCAUGCCUUACACAUGCAAGUCGAACGGUAACGGGCCUUCGGGUGCCGACGAGUGGCGAACGGGUGCGUAAUACAUCGGAACGUGCCCGAUCGUGGGGGAUAACGAGGCGAAAGCUUUGCUAAUACCGCAUACGAUCUACGGAUGAAAGCUGGGGACCGCAAGGCCUUGCGCGGACGGAGCGGCCGAUGGCAGAUUAGGUAGUUGGUGGGAUAAAAGCUUACCAAGCCGACGAUCUGUAGCUGGUCUGAGAGGAUGAUCAGCCACACUGGGACUGAGACACGGCCCAGACUCCUACGGGAGGCAGCAGUGGGGAAUUUUGGACAAUGGGCGCAAGCCUGAUCCAGCCAUGCCGCGUGCAGGAUGAAGGCCUUCGGGUUGUAAACUGCUUUUGUACGGAACGAAAAGCCUUCUUUUAAUACAGGAGGGUCAUGACGGUACCGUAAGAAUAAGCACCGGCUAACUACGUG